CAAAAGGCCCUUUUCAGGGCCACAAAUUUUAAAAAAGAUAUGCCUU
Non-coding RNA from Stegodyphus mimosarum, 46 nucleotides. Lineage: Eukaryota; Metazoa; Arthropoda; Arachnida; Araneae; Eresidae. The record is from Rfam.